RNAcentral lists this ribosomal RNA (654 nucleotides) under uncultured bacterium. RNAcentral's name for it is "bacterial SSU rRNA". It matches the Rfam family "Bacterial small subunit ribosomal RNA", at positions 232 to 885 of the family's 1533-position model. The record is from RNAcentral.
CGCGGCCUAUCAGCUUGUUGGCGGGGUAACGGCCCACCAAGGCGACGACGGGUAGCUGGUCUGAGAGGAUGGCCAGCCACAUUGGGACUGAGAGACGGCCCAGACUCCUACGGGAGGCAGCAGUGGGGAAUCUUGCGCAAUGGCCGACAGGCUGACGCAGCGACGCCGCGUGGAGGAUGACGCCCUUCGGGGUGUAAACUCCUGUUGCCCGGGACGAACAGCUCUUAUUAGGGAGCCUGACGGUACCGGGUGAGGAAGCACCGGCUAACUCCGUGCCAGCAGCCGCGGUAAUACGGAGGGUGCGAGCGUUGUCCGGAAUCACUGGGCGUAAAGGGCGCGUAGGUGGCUUGGUAAGCGUGCGGUGAAAGCCCGGGGCUCAACCCCGGGUCGGCCGUGCGAACUGCGAAGCUGGAGCACUGUAGAGGCAGGUAGAAUUCCGGGUGUAGCGGUGGAAUGCGUAGAGAUCCGGAAGAAUACCGGUGGCGAAGGCGGCCUGCUGGGCAGUGGCUGACACUGAGGCGCGACAGCGUGGGGAGCAAACAGGAUUAGAUACCCUGGUAGUCCACGCCGUAAACGAUGGGCACUAGGUGCUUGGGGGAGCGACCCUCCGAGUGCCGGCGCUAACGCAUUAAGUGCCCCGCCUGGGGAGUACGG